UAAAUUCGCAGGAUUAAAAACCGUUUUACUAAAAUGAUCAUAUCUGGAGUUCUAGAGCUCGGAUUGAGGUGAUUUCAGUGGCGUUGGAAAGAUAAUUUAAAGAUCUAUAAAUUUUGUAGAAAUAACUAUAUCAGAAUUCGUAAUUUUUCUAGGUCAAAACUAAGCCCUAAAGUUACGAGAUUGAGAGCUAACAAUUUAAAUUUAAAAGUUAGAUAUUUGUUUAUUUAAUAAUUUAUCAUAUUAUUAUUGUUAUUAUGUUAAUAUUAUUAUUAUUCAUAAAACUAAAGCUAAUAAGAUUCAGAAUAGUAUAGGUUUCAUUAACCCUAAAAUUAUAUCGUUCUAUUCUUCCCACCUAUUUGAGCAAGACUAACCCUAAAAAUUUUCAAGUCAUCUUUCCAUUACAUCCUUAGCCAAAUCUAUACCACUCUUCACUCUCAUCUUUGAUCACCAUCAUCUUAUGUCUAUCGAUCCAAGUAGCUUGAUGUAUUUGAGGUAAGAAACUCUACAUUAACUUAUUUAUUGAUCACAAUAGGAGAAUUUUCGUAGGUCUCCUUUUCUUAUUUUUCAGAAUGAAACAUGUCUCAGUAAAACUGUCAUAUCUCUUUAAAUACUCAUCUGAUUCUCGCAAUCUUAGUGUCUAUAGAAAGCUUAUUAAAUUUCCUAUAAUUCUUAUGAAGAAAGAUUUUACAGAAUCGAAAUUUAUCUAUGUCAAAAAUUAGUAUUUUUACGCUGUUUGUUGUAAAUCGUUUUUCAUAUUUUCUAUAUAAGUUGUUUCAGUAAAAUCCGAAUAUCUCUCUGAAUAAUGAUCCGAUUCUAGCGAUCUUGGUACUGUUGAAGAGAUAAUUUAAUUUUCCAAAUGUUUUAUGAAGAAACUAUUCACUAAUUAUUGAUUAUUCUAAGUCAAAAUUAUUGUUUUAUUGCUGUAGUUCGAAAUCCAUUUGUUUCAGGAUUUCUAGAAAACUGUUUCGGUAUAAUAUCUAUAUCUCUUACGUUAUAACUCCGAUUUUAAAGAUUUUAGUGUCAUUAGAAAGGGAAUUUGAUUUUCUAAAACUUUUAUGAAGAGAGUAUUCUCUGAUUUGGAAUAUUUCAGUAUCAAAACUUUGUAUUUUCGAUGUCUCCUGUGAUUCGUUACUCCAUAUUCCUUCUCAGAAAUAGUUUCAGUAAAACUAUCAUAACUCCCUCAGUUUUAAUCCAUUUUUAAUGAUCUAUAUAUCGUUGGAAAGAUAAUUAAAUUUCCUAUAAUUUUUAUGAAGGAAACUUUUACUGAAUUCGUGUAGUUAUUGGUCAAAAAUAGUAUUCUUUCUGCUGUACUGUAAGAGUGUGAAUUUUAAUGUUAGGGCCUUGACCCAUGUGUUAUUAUAGGUAGUAGUGACGAGAUAACAAGUUUAAGCAGCGGGAUUUGAGGUAUUAGACAGGGAAGUAUGUAUAGUGAGCAGGGUCAGUUCUGGUACGUAUACUGUGAGCGGCUACGGGCGGACAAACGAUCUAGAACGCCAGUGGUGCCUUAGUUUUAUUUUAAGCAGUUGAUAAAUCUAACACAGUGGAAAUGCAUUAUUUAAAAUUAUUUACUUACUGUAUCUUGUUUUACAAAUGAAGGAUCCUUCUCUGUUGCAUUUUGAUUUUUUUUAAAAUCCACUGUUGUAUUUAAAUUAUUUUUUUUUUAUCUUUUCAAAUUA
Long non-coding RNA from Cannabis sativa, 1676 nucleotides. RefSeq lists it as uncharacterized. Lineage: Eukaryota; Viridiplantae; Streptophyta; Magnoliopsida; Rosales; Cannabaceae. The record is from RefSeq and is a predicted model, not a curated record. The transcript has 2 exons.